This 480-nucleotide ribosomal RNA is filed under the name uncultured bacterium. RNAcentral describes it as "partial 16S ribosomal RNA". It matches the Rfam family "Bacterial small subunit ribosomal RNA", at positions 28 to 507 of the family's 1533-position model. The record is from RNAcentral.
GACGAACGCUGGCGGCGUGCUUAACACAUGCAAGUCGAACGAUGAAGAAAUGAAUUGAUGCUUCGGCAGAUAUUCAUUUCCGAUUAGUGUCAGACGGGUGCGUAACGCGUCAUCAAUUUACCUCUUACAAAGGGAUAGUCCCGGGAAACCGGGAUUAAUACCACAUUACAUUUCAUCGUAUCUUUUCUCCUCAAUCAAAUCAACGGCCGUAAGGGAUGUUCUCGCGUCCCAUUAACCAGACAGUGAGGUAACGACUCACCAUAGCAACUAUGGUUAACCGGGCUGAGAGAGUGAACGGUCACACUGGAGCUGAGACACGGUGCAGACUCCUACGGGAGGCAGCAGUGGGGAAUAGAGCACAAUGGAGGGAACUAUGAUGCAGCGACGCAGCGAGAGUGAUGAAGUAGUUAGUGUCAUAAAACUCUGUUCUAUGGGAAGAAAAGGACUGUACCAGAGGAGAAAGCUCCGGCUAAAUACGUG